RNAcentral lists this ribosomal RNA (486 nucleotides) under uncultured bacterium. RNAcentral's name for it is "partial 16S ribosomal RNA". It matches the Rfam family "Bacterial small subunit ribosomal RNA", at positions 29 to 507 of the family's 1533-position model. The record is from RNAcentral.
AUUGAACGCUGGCGGCAUGCCUUACACAUGCAAGUCGAACGGCAGCACGGGUGCUUGCCCCUGGUGGCGAGUGGCGAACGGGUGAGUAAUACAUCGGAACAUGUCCUGUAGUGGGGGAUAGCCCGGCGAAAGCCGGAUUAAUACCGCAUACGAUCUACGGAUGAAAGCGGGGGACCUUCGGGCCUCGCGCUAUAGGGUUGGCCGAUGGCUGAUUAGCUAGUUGGUGGGGUAAAGGCCAACCAAGGCGACGAUCAGUAGCUGGUCUGAGAGAACGACCAGCCGAGCGGGGAAGGAAACACGCCACAGACUCCGGCGGGAGGCGGAAGUGGGGAAUUUGGAAAAAUGGGCGAAAGCUGGACCAAGAAAGGCCGCGUGUGUGAAGAAGGCCUUGGGUUGUAAAAGCACUUUUGGCGGAAAAAAAACCCUGGGCCAUAAUAGGGGGGGGGGAGGAGGGAACGGGAGAAAAAACCACCGCAUAACUCGGGG